UGCAGUCGAACGAUGAUCUCCAGCUUGCUGGGGGGAUUAGUGGCGAACGGGUGAGUAACACGUGAGUAACCUGCCCUUGACUCUGGGAUAAGCCUGGGAAACUGGGUCUAAUACUGGAUACGACCUUCCAUCGCAUGGUGGUUGGUGGAAAGCUUUUGUGGUUUUGGAUGGACUCGCGGCCUAUCAGCUUGUUGGUGGGGUAAUGGCCUACCAAGGCGACGACGGGUAGCCGGCCUGAGAGGGUGGACGGCCACACUGGGACUGAGACACGGCCCAGACUCCUACGGGAGGCAGCAGUGGGGAAUAUUGCACAAUGGGCGCAAGCCUGAUGCAGCGACGCCGCGUGAGGGAUGAAGGCCUUCGGGUUGUAAACCUCUUUCAGUAGGGAAGAAGCGAAAGUGACGGUACCUGCAGAAGAAGCGCCGGCUAACUACGUGCCAGCAGCCGCGGUAAUACGUAGGGCGCAAGCGUUAUCCGGAAUUAUUGGGCGUAAAGAGCUCGUAGGCGGUUUGUCGCGUCUGCCGUGAAAGUCCGGGGCUUAACCCCGGAUCUGCGGUGGGUACGGGCAGACUUGAGUGAUGUAGGGGAGACUGGAAUUCCUGGUGUAGCGGUGAAAUGCGCAGAUAUCAGGAGGAACACCGAUGGCGAAGGCAGGUCUCUGGGCAUUAACUGACGCUGAGGAGCGAAAGCAUGGGGAGCGAACAGGAUUAGAUACCCUGGUAGUCCAUGCCGUAAACGUUGGGCACUAGGUGUG
RNAcentral lists this ribosomal RNA (754 nucleotides) under Arthrobacter sp. tz14. RNAcentral describes it as "bacterial SSU rRNA". It matches the Rfam family "Bacterial small subunit ribosomal RNA", at positions 56 to 824 of the family's 1533-position model. RNAcentral also lists the same sequence under 2 other names. The record is from RNAcentral. Lineage: Bacteria; Bacillati; Actinomycetota; Actinomycetes; Micrococcales; Micrococcaceae.